This 374-nucleotide ribosomal RNA is filed under the name uncultured organism. RNAcentral's name for it is "partial 16S ribosomal RNA". It matches the Rfam family "Bacterial small subunit ribosomal RNA", at positions 527 to 896 of the family's 1533-position model. The record is from RNAcentral.
GUAGGUGGCAAGCGUUGUCCGGAAUUAUUGGGGCGUAAAGCGCGCGCAGGCGGUUCUUUAAGUCUGAUGUGAAAGCCCACGGGCUCAACCGUGGAGGGUCAUUGGAAACUGGAGAACUUGAGUACAGAAGAGGAAAGCGGAAUUCCACGUGUAGCGGUGAAAUGCGUAGAGAUGUGGAGGACCACCAGUGGCGAAGGCGGCUUUCUGGUCUGUAACUGACGCUGAGGCGCGAAAGCGUGGGGAGCAAACAGGAUUAGAUACCCUGGUAGUCCACGCCGUAAACGAUGAGUGCUAAGUGUUAGGGGGUUUCCGCCCCUUAGUGCUGCAGCUAACGCAUUAAGCACUCCGCCUGGGGAGUACGGCCGCAAAGGCUG